CCCGCUGAACUUAAGCAUAUCAAUAAGCGGAGGAAAAGAAACCAACAGGGAUUGCCUUAGUAACGGCGAGUGAAGCGGCAAAAGCUCAAAUUUGAAAUCGGCCAUCAGGUCGAGUUGUAAUUUGUAGAUUGUACUUUGAGAGCGGAUUAAAGUCUGUUGGAA
This 162-nucleotide ribosomal RNA is filed under the name Geotrichum pseudocandidum. RNAcentral's name for it is "Galactomyces pseudocandidus partial 28S ribosomal RNA". It matches the Rfam family "Eukaryotic large subunit ribosomal RNA", at positions 24 to 195 of the family's 3401-position model. Lineage: Eukaryota; Fungi; Ascomycota; Dipodascomycetes; Dipodascales; Dipodascaceae. The record is from RNAcentral.